Molecule: ribosomal RNA, 500 nt
Filed under: uncultured bacterium
Lineage: Bacteria
Description: partial 16S ribosomal RNA
Rfam family: Bacterial small subunit ribosomal RNA
Source: RNAcentral
AUUGAACGCUGGCGGAAUGCUUUACACAUGCAAGUCGAACGGCAGCACGGGGGCAACCCUGGUGGCGAGUGGCGAACGGGUGAGUAAUACAUCGGAACGUGCCCAGUCGUGGGGGAUAACGUAGCGAAAGUUACGCUAAUACCGCAUACGAUCUACGGAUGAAAGCGGGGGACCGUAAGGCCUCGCGCGAUUGGAGCGGCCGAUGUCAGAUUAGGUAGUUGGCGAGGUAAAGGCUCACCAAGCCGACGAUCUGUAGCUGGUCUGAGAGGACGACCAGGCAAACUGGGACUGAGACACGGCCCAGAAUCCGACGGGAGGCAGCAGGGGGGAAUUUUGGACAAUGGGAGCAAGCCUGAUCCAGCCAUUCCGCGUGCAGGACGAAGGCCUUCGGGUGGUAAACUGCUUUUGUACGGAACGAAAAGGCUCUGGUUAAUACCUGGGGCUGAUGACGGUACCGUAAGAAUAAGCACCGGCUAACUACGUGCCAGCAGCCGCAGUAA